GGGCUUGACAUCCCACGAACCUGCCCGAAAAGGUGGGGUGCCCGCAAGGGAGCGUGGAGACAGGUGGUGCAUGGCUGUCGUCAGCUCGUGUCGUGAGACGUUGGGUUAAGUCCCGCAACGAGCGCAACCCUCACCCCUAGUUGCCACCGGGUUAAGCCGAGCACUCAAGGGGAACUGCCAGCGUCAAGCUGGAGGAAGGCGGGGAUGACGUCAAGUCAUCAUGCCCCUUACGCCCUGGGCUACGCACGUGCUACAAUGGCCAGCACAAAGGGACGCGAGACUGCGAAGUGGAGCUAAUCCCAAAAAGCUGGUCUAAGUUCAGAUUGCAGUCUGCAACUCGACUGCAUGAAGGAGGAAUCGCUAGUAAUCGCGCAUCAGCCCGGCGCGGUGAAUACGUUCCCGGGCCUUGUACACACCGCCCGUCACACCACGAAAGCUGUCUGUACUCGAAGUCGCUGAG
RNAcentral lists this ribosomal RNA (460 nucleotides) under uncultured Methylomirabilota bacterium. RNAcentral's name for it is "bacterial SSU rRNA". It matches the Rfam family "Bacterial small subunit ribosomal RNA", at positions 977 to 1434 of the family's 1533-position model. The record is from RNAcentral. Lineage: Bacteria; Methylomirabilota (SeqCode).